This 505-nucleotide long non-coding RNA is filed under the name Linum usitatissimum (flax). Its description in RNAcentral is "long non-coding RNA (LUSI_LNC006034)". The record is from RNAcentral. Lineage: Eukaryota; Viridiplantae; Streptophyta; Magnoliopsida; Malpighiales; Linaceae.
CUCUGAUACCACUGUUGGGUGCUAUUGGGCCUUCUCACCCCAAAAGCUAGCUCAAAGGGUGAGGCUUUCCCUCACACUUAUAAACAGCACCCAGCCCCUUCCACUCUCCGAUGUGGGAUAACCCAACAACCUCCCCCUCACACAUCGGUCUCUCGGUAGGCAUUACCCAUCUACCGGCUCUGACCGGAUCACCAUCGGUCCUUCGGACCGGAUCCCGGGAGGUGUUGUCAACCUGGGCUCUGAUACCACUGUUGGGUGCUAUUGGGCCUUCUCACCCCAAAAGCUAGCUCAAAGGCGUGAGACUUUCCCUCACAUUCCAAAUCGAGUAAUUUGAUGACGUUAACUUAAUCAUUGCUCCGCUUGAAUCAUCCAUUCUUGCCAUCCACCCAAACCAGCCCCAACACAACCUCGAGCUCUGAUACCACUGUUGGGUGCUAUUGGGCCUUCUCACCCCAAAAGCUAGCUCAAAGGGUGAGGCUUUCCCUCACACUUAUAAACAGCACCC